ACCAAAUCCUCAACGAUGGAUAUCUAGGUUCCGGCGACGAUGAAGAACGCAGCGAAGUGCGAUAAGCAGUGCGAAUUGCAGAGCCGAGAGUCAUCAGAUUUUUGAACGUAACUGACGCCGGGGGGUACUCUCCUCGGCAUGCCUUCUCCAGU
RNAcentral lists this ribosomal RNA (152 nucleotides) under Xystonella longicauda. Its description in RNAcentral is "5.8S ribosomal RNA". It matches the Rfam family "5.8S ribosomal RNA". Rfam says of the family: 5.8S ribosomal RNA (5.8S rRNA) is a component of the large subunit of the eukaryotic ribosome. The record is from RNAcentral. Lineage: Eukaryota; Ciliophora; Spirotrichea; Tintinnida; Xystonellidae.